CAGGGCGCAUGCUCCGCUCGCUUUUUAUGAAUGGGGGGCCGGAAAGGAGCGCGUCGCGGGCUGCGAAGGUUGGAGCCGGCUGCGGCUUUUUAUGAAUGGAGGCAGGCGGCAGCUGCGCGCGCACCGUCCCCAGCCGGGCCCGAGGGAGGAUCAAAGCACAAGGAGGACUCUUCAGCUGUUUGCUUUGCCAGGGCUGCAUUUAAAAAAAAAAAAAAAAGGCUCAAAAAACCCAAUCAGCUGCAGCCAGAGCAGAGCCCAGGAAUGUAGAACGGCCAGCGGAUCCCCUUCCUCAAAAUAAAAGUGCAAUACAUACAUCUGUUGCUGCUGGG
Molecule: long non-coding RNA, 329 nt
Organism: Crocodylus porosus (Australian saltwater crocodile)
Lineage: Eukaryota; Metazoa; Chordata; Crocodylia; Crocodylidae
Source: Ensembl